RNAcentral lists this long non-coding RNA (201 nucleotides) under Elaeis guineensis (African oil palm). RNAcentral describes it as "long non-coding RNA (EGUI_LNC072175)". The record is from RNAcentral. Lineage: Eukaryota; Viridiplantae; Streptophyta; Magnoliopsida; Arecales; Arecaceae.
CUAUUUUUUUUUCUGGGAAAGACAGGGCGGCUGGCCCAUGUGGCCCACCCGGUCGUCGGAUUCUGAAACUCCGACGAUGCUCUUUUCAGCCGCACCGAUGCCUGCGGUUGCUGCGGCUGCUGUUGCAUGGCCUGCACUGCUUCGGUGAGGCCUCUGACCUGUUGAACUAGCAGGUCAAACUGCUCCAUGCCGACUGCCGUC